Molecule: ribosomal RNA, 253 nt
Filed under: uncultured bacterium
Lineage: Bacteria
Description: partial 16S ribosomal RNA
Rfam family: Bacterial small subunit ribosomal RNA
Source: RNAcentral
UACGUAGGGUGCAAGCGUUGUCCGGAAUUAUUGGGCGUAAAGAGCUCGUAGGUGGCCUGUCGCGUCGGCUGUGAAAACUCGGGGCUCAACUCCGAGCUUGCAGUCGAUACGGGCAGGCUAGAGUUCGGCAGGGGAGACUGGAAUUCCUGGUGUAGCGGUGAAAUGCGCAGAUAUCAGGAGGAACACCGGUGGCGAAGGCGGGUCUCUGGGCCGAUACUGGCACUGAGGAGCGAAAGCGUGGGGAGCGAACAGG